RNAcentral lists this ribosomal RNA (397 nucleotides) under uncultured bacterium. RNAcentral's name for it is "partial 16S ribosomal RNA". It matches the Rfam family "Bacterial small subunit ribosomal RNA", at positions 523 to 918 of the family's 1533-position model. The record is from RNAcentral.
AUACGUAGGUGACAAGCGUUAUCCGGAUUUACUGGGCGUAAAGGGCGUGUAGGCGGUCUUGCAAGUCAGAAGUGAAAUUCCUGAGCUCAACUCGGGCGCUGCUUCUGAAACUGCAGGACUUGAGUGCUGGAGGGGAUAGCGGAAUUCCUAGUGGAGCGGUAAAAUGCGCAGAUAUUAGGAAGAACACCGGUGGCGAAGGCGGCUAUCUGGACAGUAACUGACGCUGAGGCGCGAAAGCGUGGGGAGCAAACAGGAUUAGAUCCCCUGGUAGUCCACGCCGUAAACGACGAAUACUAGGUGUAGGGGGUAUCGACUCCCUCUGUGCCGCAGUUAACACAAUAAGUAUUCCGCCUGGGGAGUACGGCCGCAAGGUUGAAACUCAAAUGAAUUGACGGGG